AGUGAACGCUGGCGGUAGGCCUAACACAUGCAAGUCGAACGGCAGCACAGUAAGAGCUUGCUCUUACGGGUGGCGAGUGGCGGACGGGUGAGGAAUACAUCGGAAUCUACUUUUUCGUGGGGGAUAACGUAGGGAAACUUACGCUAAUACCGCAUACGACCUACGGGUGAAAGCAGGGGAUCUUCGGACCUUGCGCGAUUGAAUGAGCCGAUGUCGGAUUAGCUAGUUGGCGGGGUAAAGGCCCACCAAGGCGACGAUCCGUAGCUGGUCUGAGAGGAUGAUCAGCCACACUGGAACUGAGACACGGUCCAGACUCCGACGGGUGGCAGCAGUGGGGAAUAUUGGACAAUGGGCGCAAGCCUGAUCCAGCCAUACCGCGUGGGUGAAGAAGGCCUUCGGGUUGUAAAGCCCUUUUGUUGGGAAAGAAAAGCAGCAGGUUAAUACCCCGCUGUUCUGACGGUACCCAAAGAAUAAGCACCGGCUAACUUCGUG
RNAcentral lists this ribosomal RNA (492 nucleotides) under uncultured bacterium. Its description in RNAcentral is "partial 16S ribosomal RNA". It matches the Rfam family "Bacterial small subunit ribosomal RNA", at positions 29 to 507 of the family's 1533-position model. The record is from RNAcentral.